CAAAGGAAGCGAUUCCGGCAACGGAUGGGCAUGCGUGACAUUAGCUAGUUGGCGGGGCAACGGCCCACCAAGGCGACGAUGUCUAGGGGUUCUGAGAGGAAGGUCCCCCACACUGGUACUGAGACACGGACCAGACUCCUACGGGAGGCAGCAGUGAGGAAUAUUGGUCAAUGGGCGCGAGCCUGAACCAGCCAAGUCGCGUGAGAGAUGACGGCCCUACGGGUUGUAAACCUCUUUUGUCGGGGAGCAAAUUCCGCCACGCGUGGCGGAGUCGAGAGUACCCGAAGAAAAAGCAUCGGCUAACUCCGUGCCAGCAGCCGCGGUAAUACGGAGGAUGCGAGCGUUAUCCGGAUUUAUUGGGUUUAAAGGGUGCGUAGGCGGACUGUCAAGUCAGCGGUAAAAUACGGGGGCUCAACCUCCGCCCGCCGUUGAAACUGACGGUCUUGAGUGGGCGAGAAGUAUGCGGAAUGCGUGGUGUAGCGGUGAAAUGCAUAGAUAUCACGCAGAACUCCGAUUGCGAAGGCAGCAUACCGGCGCCCAACUGACGCUGAAGCACGAAAGCGUGGGUAUCGAACAGGAUUAGAUACCCUGGUAGUCCACGCAGUAAACGAUGAAUACUAGCUGUCCGGGGCGAAUGAGCUCUGG
Molecule: ribosomal RNA, 645 nt
Filed under: uncultured bacterium
Lineage: Bacteria
Description: bacterial SSU rRNA
Rfam family: Bacterial small subunit ribosomal RNA
Source: RNAcentral